AGAGUUUGAUCCUGGCUCAGAUUGAACGCUAGCGGGAUGCCUUACACAUGCAAGUCGAACGGCAGCACGGACUUCGGUCUGGUGGCGAGUGGCGAACGGGUGAGUAAUGUAUCGGAACGUGCCUAGUAGCGGGGGAUAACUACGCGAAAGCGUAGCUAAUACCGCAUACGCCCUACGGGGGAAAGCAGGGGAUCGCAAGACCUUGCACUAUUAGAGCGGCCGAUAUCGGAUUAGCUAGUUGGUGGGGUAACGGCUCACCAAGGCGACGAUCCGUAGCUGGUUUGAGAGGACGACCAGCCACACUGGGACUGAGACACGGCCCAGACUCCUACGGGAGGCAGCAGUGGGGAAUUUUGGACAAUGGGGGAAACCCUGAUCCAGCCAUCCCGCGUGUGCGAUGAAGGCCUUCGGGUUGUAAAGCACUUUUGGCAGGAAAGAAACGUCAUGGGCUAAUACCCCGUGAAACUGACGGUACCUGCAGAAUAAGCACCGGCUAACUACGUGCCAGCAGCCGCGGUAAUACGUAGGGUGCAAGCGUUAAUCGGAAUUACUGGGCGUAAAGCGUGCGCAGGCGGUUCGGAAAGAAAGAUGUGAAAUCCCAGAGCUUAACUUUGGAACUGCAUUUUUAACUACCGAGCUAGAGUGUGUCAGAGGGAGGUGGAAUUCCGCGUGUAGCAGUGAAAUGCGUAGAUAUGCGGAGGAACACCGAUGGCGAAGGCAGCCUCCUGGGAUAACACUGACGCUCAUGCACGAAAGCGUGGGGAGCAAACAGGAUUAGAUACCCCGGUAGUCCACGCCCUAAACGAUGUCAACUAGCUGUUGGGGCCUUCGGGCCUUGGUAGCGCAGCUAACGCGUGAAGUUGACCGCCUGGGGAGUACGGUCGCAAGAUUAAAACUCAAAGGAAUUGACGGGGACCCGCACAAGCGGUGGAUGAUGUGGAUUAAUUCGAUGCAACGCGAAAAACCUUACCUACCCUUGACAUGUCUGGAAUUCCGAAGAGAUUUGGAAGUGCUCGCAAGAGAACCGGAACACAGGUGCUUGCAUGGCUGUCGUCAGCUCGUGUCGUAAGAUGUUGGGUUAAGUCCCGCAACGAGCGCAACCCUUGUCAUUAGUUGCUACGAAAGGGCACUCUAAUGAGACUGCCGGUGACAAACCGGAGGAAGGUGGGGAUGACGUCAAGUCCUCAUGGCCCUUAUGGGUAGGGCUUCACACGUCAUACAAUGGUCGGGACAGAGGGUCGCCAACCCGCGAGGGGGAGCCAAUCCCAGAAACCCGAUCGUAGUCCGGAUCGCAGUCUGCAACUCGACUGCGUGAAGUCGGAAUCGCUAGUAAUCGCGGAUCAGCAUGUCGCGGUGAAUACGUUCCCGGGUCUUGUACACACCGCCCGUCACACCAUGGGAGUGGGUUUUACCAGAAGUAGUUAGCCUAACCGUAAGGGGGGCGAUUACCACGGUAGGAUUCAUGACUGGGGUGAAGUCGUAACAAGGUAACCA
RNAcentral lists this ribosomal RNA (1494 nucleotides) under Achromobacter xylosoxidans. RNAcentral describes it as "bacterial SSU rRNA". It matches the Rfam family "Bacterial small subunit ribosomal RNA". The record is from RNAcentral. Lineage: Bacteria; Pseudomonadati; Pseudomonadota; Betaproteobacteria; Burkholderiales; Alcaligenaceae.